CACUAAAAGAUGUAGGUGGUAAAGAGUAGCUCAAAAUUGAAAGGAAGUAUUAUUUUUAUACAAACUUGUCCUAAAUGAAGUAAUGGCAUAAUUUUUCUUCUGCUAGGUUUUGUGAAAAUUUUGCUAAAGACUUGACUGGCUAAAAUAAGGUCUGUUAUUAGUCAUGUGUAGCUGGAAAAUGAGAAAAUAAGGCACUGGAAGACAUAUUCUAAUGAAUCUAAACCAGUGUAAGUUCUCAAACACACCCGUCCCAUUUUUACUUUUUAUUCAAUGUUACUCUUUCCACAGAAGAGUUUGCAAAAUUAAGCACCCAGAUGUUUCUUGUCUCCUGAAGAUUGGAGUCUUGCACCUCUCUUGGAGUUUGCUCUUUCUGCAAUGUAAAGUCAAGCCAUUGAAUUUGAGAGGUGUUAGUGAGGAGGUAAAAGGUAUUCUGCAUCACUCCUGUGGAGAAUUCUCAGAAAUUCUCUCAUCUGUUCAAGAUAUGCUUUCUCUUAACAGCCUUACUGAAAAAGAAAAAGCAGGACUUUGGUGAGGAUUUGCCAUUUCCUGAUGCAGUACCUCUAUGCGAGGUAGCAUGCAUCCUGCUACAACUUUCACUCCAAGCAGAGCCUGACCCAGGAGUGUUGCA
Molecule: long non-coding RNA, 628 nt
Filed under: Zonotrichia albicollis (white-throated sparrow)
Lineage: Eukaryota; Metazoa; Chordata; Aves; Passeriformes; Passerellidae
Description: lncRNA (ENSZALG00000007896.1)
Source: RNAcentral